GACGAACGCUGGCGGCGUGCCUAAUACAUGCAAGUAGAACGCUGAAGGAGGAGCUUGCUUCUCUGGAUGAGUUGCGAACGGGUGAGUAACGCGUAGGUAACCUGCCUGGUAGCGGGGGAUAACUAUUGGAAACGAUAGCUAAUACCGCAUAAUAGCAGUUGUUGCAUGACAACUGUUUGAAAGGUGCAAUUGCACCACUACCAGAUGGACCUGCGUUGUAUUAGCUAGUUGGUGGGGUAACGGCUCACCAAGGCGACGAUACAUAGCCGACCUGAGAGGGGGUGCGGCCAACCGGGGACUGGACCACGGCCCAGACUCCUACGGGAGGAAGCAGUAGGGAAUCUUCGGCAAAGGACGGAAGUUUGACCGAGAAACGCCGGGGGAGUGAAAAAGGUUUUGGGAUCUAAAAGCUCUGUUGUAAGAGAAAAACGGGUGUGGGAGGGGAAAGUUCACACUGUGACGGUAUUUUACCAAAAAGGGACGGCUAACUACGU
This 494-nucleotide ribosomal RNA is filed under the name uncultured bacterium. RNAcentral's name for it is "partial 16S ribosomal RNA". It matches the Rfam family "Bacterial small subunit ribosomal RNA", at positions 28 to 506 of the family's 1533-position model. The record is from RNAcentral.